This 326-nucleotide ribosomal RNA is filed under the name uncultured bacterium. RNAcentral's name for it is "bacterial SSU rRNA". It matches the Rfam family "Bacterial small subunit ribosomal RNA", at positions 28 to 334 of the family's 1533-position model. The record is from RNAcentral.
GACGAACGCUGGCGGCGUGCCUAAUACAUGCAAGUCGAACGCAUUUUCUUUCACCGUAGCUUGCUACACCGAAAGAAAAUGAGUGGCGAACGGGUGAGUAACACGUGGGUAACCUGCCCAUCAGCGGGGGAUAACACUUGGAAACAGGUGCUAAUACCGCAUAAUUUCAUCUACCGCAUGGUAGAUGGAUGAAAGGCGCUUUUGCGUCACUGAUGGAUGGACCCGCGGUGCAUUAGCUAGUUGGCGGGGUAACGGCCCACCAAGGCGACGAUCAGUAGCCGGACUGAGAGGUUGGCCGGCCACAUUGGGACUGAGACACGGCCCAG